UCACCAAGAGCUACCUGAGCAAGUCCCAG
RNAcentral lists this small RNA (29 nucleotides) under Bombyx mori (domestic silkworm). Its description in RNAcentral is "ovarian small RNA-25088". Lineage: Eukaryota; Metazoa; Arthropoda; Insecta; Lepidoptera; Bombycidae. The record is from RNAcentral.